CAUCAGGGCAAUAUCUGCUUUGAUCUACAAUGUGCUCAAAGCAUUCAUGGAGAUGAACAGCGCCUUGUUUGACGAACUCGCCGCCAAUUACAAAUCAGACAGGCAAAGGGAAAGGAAGAAGGACAAGGAGCGUGAGGACCUAUGGAGGAUGCUGGAGGAGCUGGAGCUCAGACGGGGCAUCCAGAACAGUGACGGCGUCAUUCCCACCUAACACGGACCUCGUUUCCGCCCUUCUGUGUGGCCCCAACAAUCCCUUUUUACUCUGCCACAGGGACCCUGUCCCCUAUUUGCUUCUCAUGCUGCGUACUUUACCGCACACUCCCUCGUUCAUUUCCUCCCUUUCAACAGCACUGUAAAUAAUCCUCUCCCUCUUUCCUGUAUCAUACUACUACACUGAAAGGAAGAAGAAAAAACAGAAAAUUUGAAGAGAGACUUAAUGUGCACUCCUUGUUGUAAAAAAUAUGGUAAAAUGAUAAUCAACUAUGGUCAAAGGAUAUAUUUUAAAAAACCUUUUCAGUUCAGAAAUUGUUCAGCGUCUCCAUGUCAGUAUAUUGUUCUCAAGGAAGUGCCCUGGGACUUUGGGAUCUGUGCUCACCCUGCAAUUAAAGAUGUCUUAUGUGAGGA
Long non-coding RNA from Sinocyclocheilus grahami, 624 nucleotides. RefSeq lists it as uncharacterized. Lineage: Eukaryota; Metazoa; Chordata; Actinopteri; Cypriniformes; Cyprinidae. The transcript has 2 exons. The record is from RefSeq and is a predicted model, not a curated record.